AGAGUUUGAUCCUGGCUCAGAUUGAACGCUGGCGGCAUGCUUUACACAUGCAAGUCGAACGGUAACAGGUCUUCGGAUGCUGACGAGUGGCGAACGGGUGAGUAAUACAUCGGAACGUGCCUAGUAGUGGGGGAUAACUACUCGAAAGAGUAGCUAAUACCGCAUGAGAUCUACGGAUGAAAGCAGGGGACCUUCGGGCCUUGUGCUACUAGAGCGGCUGAUGGCAGAUUAGGUAGUUGGUGGGGUAAAGGCUUACCAAGCCUGCGAUCUGUAGCUGGUCUGAGAGGACGACCAGCCACACUGGGACUGAGACACGGCCCAGACUCCUACGGGAGGCAGCAGUGGGGAAUUUUGGACAAUGGGCGAAAGCCUGAUCCAGCAAUGCCGCGUGCAGGAUGAAGGCCCUCGGGUU
Molecule: ribosomal RNA, 412 nt
Filed under: uncultured bacterium
Lineage: Bacteria
Description: bacterial SSU rRNA
Rfam family: Bacterial small subunit ribosomal RNA
Source: RNAcentral